UCUAAUGAAGCUGUGCUAUUGAUGUCUUAUUAAUCUACAAACUGUUUGAUGAAAUGCUUGACUGACUUUUUCUCCUUUUUCUUCAUGUUUUUGUUGAAUGUGUGAGUAUCACAAAGCUUGAAAAACGCACGGAGUCCAUAACUGAGGUAGCGCACCAGCCCUCUUUUGAAUUUGUGAAGAGUAAGGCAGGAGGAGAGCGCAUCCAAUAAAUGCUUAGAAUCUGGAACUGAGAUAUUCCGCCUGGUUGGGGGACUUUUGGGUUCUGGAUACUGAUAUAUGGCAAUGGUCUGAAUUAACUAGCUUUGGUGACUUGCCUUCAUCGAGGGAUUUCAUUGCAGCUUCAGCAAUUGGAAACCGAAAAA
This is a long non-coding RNA of Lotus japonicus, 362 nucleotides long. RefSeq lists it as uncharacterized. The record is from RefSeq and is a predicted model, not a curated record. Lineage: Eukaryota; Viridiplantae; Streptophyta; Magnoliopsida; Fabales; Fabaceae. The transcript is spliced from 3 exons.